This 76-nucleotide transfer RNA is filed under the name Klebsiella pneumoniae. Its description in RNAcentral is "tRNA-Arg". It matches the Rfam family "tRNA". From Rfam's summary of the family: Transfer RNA (tRNA) molecules are approximately 80 nucleotides in length. Lineage: Bacteria; Pseudomonadati; Pseudomonadota; Gammaproteobacteria; Enterobacterales; Enterobacteriaceae. The record is from RNAcentral.
CAGGCGCAUCUCAGCUGGAUAGAGUACUCGGCUACGAACCGAGCGGUCGGAGGUUCGAAUCCUCCCGGAUGCACCA